GUGCCAGCAGCCGCGGUAAUACAGAGGUCCCAAGCGUUGUUCGGAUUUACUGGGCGUAAAGGGUGCGUAGGUGGCGGGGUAAGUCUGGUGUGAAAGCUCCGAGCUCAACUCGGAAAAGCAUUGGAAACUAUCCCGCUUGAGGGUCGGAGGGGAGACUGGAAUUCUCGGUGUAGCAGUGAAAUGCGUAGAUAUCGAGAGGAACACCAGUGGCGAAGGCGAGUCUCUGGACGACUCCUGACACUGAGGCACGAAAGCUAGGGGAGCAAACAGGAUUAGAAACCCCGGUAGUCC
This 291-nucleotide ribosomal RNA is filed under the name uncultured bacterium. RNAcentral describes it as "partial 16S ribosomal RNA". It matches the Rfam family "Bacterial small subunit ribosomal RNA", at positions 505 to 796 of the family's 1533-position model. The record is from RNAcentral.